RNAcentral lists this ribosomal RNA (466 nucleotides) under uncultured bacterium. RNAcentral describes it as "bacterial SSU rRNA". It matches the Rfam family "Bacterial small subunit ribosomal RNA", at positions 29 to 507 of the family's 1533-position model. The record is from RNAcentral.
AACGAACGCUAGCGGGAUGCUUCAAACAUGCAAGUCGUACGGGAAAGCCCUUUCGGGGGUUAGUAUAGUGGCGCACGGGUGCGUAAUACGUAGCUAACGUACCCCUUCGCUGGGGAUAACUCCGGGAAACCGGAACUAAUACCGAAUAGUCUAAAAAGAACUUAGGUUCAUUUUGGUAAAGCUGUAAAGCGCGAAGGGAUCGGGCUGCGGCCCAUUAGCUUGUUGGUGGGGUAAUGGCCUACCAAGGCAAUGAUGGGUAGCUGGUCUGAGAGGAUGAUCAGCCACACUGGAACUGGAACACGGUCCAGACUCCCACGGGAGGCAGCAGUUGGGAAUAUUGCACAAUGGGGGAAACCCUGAUGCAGCAAUCCCGCGUGAGUGAUGAAGGCCCUCGGGUCGUAAAGCUCUUUUAGCAGGGAAGAACACAAUGACGGUACCUGCAGAAAAAGCACCGGCUAACUACGUG